This 468-nucleotide ribosomal RNA is filed under the name uncultured bacterium. RNAcentral describes it as "partial 16S ribosomal RNA". It matches the Rfam family "Bacterial small subunit ribosomal RNA", at positions 28 to 507 of the family's 1533-position model. The record is from RNAcentral.
GACGAACGCUGGCGGCGUGCUUAACACAUGCAAGUCGAACGGAAAGGCCCUGCUUUUGUGGGGUGCUCGAGUGGCGAACGUGUGAGUAACACGUGAGUAACCUGCCCUUGACUUUGGGAUAACUUCAGUAAACUGGUGCUAAUACCGGAUAGGAGCUCCUGCUGCAUGUUGUGGGUUGGAAAGUUUCGGCGGUUGGGGAUGGACUCGCGGAUUAUCAGCUUGUUGGUGGGGUAGUGGCUUACCAAGGCUUUGACGGGUAGCCGGCCUGAGAGGGUGACCGGCCACAUUGGGACUGAGAUAAGGCCCAAACUCCUACGGGAGGCAGCAGUGGGGAAUACUGCACCAUGGGCGGAAGCCUGAUGCAGCAACGCCGCGUGCGAGAUGAAGGCCUUCGGGUUGUAAACCGCUUUCGCAUGUGACGAAGCGUGAGUGACGGUAAUGGGUAAAGAAGCACCGGCUAACUACGUG